UACGAAGGGUGCAAGCGUUACUCGGAAUUACUGGGCGUAAAGCGUGCGUAGGUGGUUCGUUAAGUCUGUCGUGAAAGCCCCGGGCUCAACCUGGGAAUGGCGAUGGAUACUGGCGGGCUAGAGUGCGGUAGAGGAGAGUGGAAUUCCCGGUGUAGCAGUGAAAUGCGUAGAGAUCGGGAGGAACAUCAGUUGCGAAGGCGGCUCUCUGGACCAGCACUGACGCUGAGGCGCGAAAGCCAGGGGAGCAAACGGG
This 253-nucleotide ribosomal RNA is filed under the name uncultured bacterium. RNAcentral describes it as "partial 16S ribosomal RNA". It matches the Rfam family "Bacterial small subunit ribosomal RNA", at positions 524 to 776 of the family's 1533-position model. The record is from RNAcentral.